This 832-nucleotide ribosomal RNA is filed under the name Psychroflexus sp. YXWBB23. RNAcentral's name for it is "bacterial SSU rRNA". It matches the Rfam family "Bacterial small subunit ribosomal RNA", at positions 372 to 1204 of the family's 1533-position model. The record is from RNAcentral. Lineage: Bacteria; Pseudomonadati; Bacteroidota; Flavobacteriia; Flavobacteriales; Flavobacteriaceae.
UGGGAGCAUCCUGAUCCAGCCAUGCCGCGUGCAGGAAGACUGCCCUAUGGGUUGUAAACUGUUUUUAUACAGGAAGAAAAAGGUGUACGUGUACACUGUUGACGGUACUGUAAGAAUAAGGAUCGGCUAACUCCGUGCCAGCAGCCGCGGUAAUACGGAGGAUCCAAGCGUUAUCCGGAAUCAUUGGGUUUAAAGGGUCCGUAGGCGGGACAAUAAGUCAGUGGUGAAAGUCUGCAGCUCAACUGUAGAAUUGCCAUUGAUACUGUUGUUCUUGAGUGCUUGUGAAGUGGUUAGAAUGAGUAGUGUAGCGGUGAAAUGCAUAGAUAUUACUCAGAAUACCGAUUGCGAAGGCAGAUCACUAACAAUUCACUGACGCUGAUGGACGAAAGCGUAGGUAGCGAACAGGAUUAGAUACCCUGGUAGUCUACGCCGUAAACGAUGGUUACUAGCUGUUCGGACUAAUUGAGGUCUGAGUGGCUAAGCGAAAGUGAUAAGUAACCCACCUGGGGAGUACGUUCGCAAGAAUGAAACUCAAAGGAAUUGACGGGGGCCCGCACAAGCGGUGGAGCAUGUGGUUUAAUUCGAUGAUACGCGAGGAACCUUACCAGGGCUUAAAUGCAGUUUGACAGGGGUGGAAACACCUUUUCCUUCGGGCAAAUUGCAAGGUGCUGCAUGGUUGUCGUCAGCUCGUGCCGUGAGGUGUCAGGUUAAGUCCUAUAACGAGCGCAACCCCUUUGGUUAGUUACCAGCAUGUAAUGAUGGGGACUCUAGCCAUACUGCCAGUGUAAACUGUGAGGAAGGUGGGGAUGACGUCAAAUCAUCACGGCCCUUA